CACUAGCCCUGAUGGCAGCGGAAAUCCCUUUUGGGCAGCGGUAGAUUGUCUAUCCCAAGGGUUUCUCAAAAGGAUUGUAGCAGACAGCAGGACGGAAC
Molecule: non-coding RNA, 98 nt
Organism: Spinacia oleracea (spinach)
Lineage: Eukaryota; Viridiplantae; Streptophyta; Magnoliopsida; Caryophyllales; Amaranthaceae
Source: Rfam